AUCUACAGCCACACCACCCUGAACUCACCUGGUCUCCUCCGAUCUUGGAAGCUAAGCAGACUCAGACCUGGUUAAUUCUUGUAUGGGGGUCUGGAGAGACAGGCAGGACUCUAGGGC
RNAcentral lists this ribosomal RNA (117 nucleotides) under Jaculus jaculus (lesser Egyptian jerboa). Lineage: Eukaryota; Metazoa; Chordata; Mammalia; Rodentia; Dipodidae. The record is from RNAcentral.